CAUGUUUGUCAAGUUAGCCGUCGUUUGUAUGGUGCUAUGUAGCGUCAUGACUGAGGUUCCUGCCCAGGAAACAUCGCCGCCCUGUCCGUGUCCUGCGAUUUACAGACCAGUCUGUGUUGCGGGUAGGACGUACGACAGCUCCUGUGUGGCCGAAUGCGACGGUCACUUGUCAGCUUCUUUCAGUGAGGGUGCAUGCGGUAAAUACAG
Long non-coding RNA from Ylistrum balloti, 207 nucleotides. RefSeq lists it as uncharacterized. The record is from RefSeq and is a predicted model, not a curated record. The transcript is spliced from 3 exons. Lineage: Eukaryota; Metazoa; Mollusca; Bivalvia; Pectinida; Pectinidae.